Molecule: ribosomal RNA, 422 nt
Filed under: uncultured prokaryote
Description: bacterial SSU rRNA
Rfam family: Bacterial small subunit ribosomal RNA
Source: RNAcentral
UGAGGAAUAUUGCACAAUGGGGGCAACCCUGAUGCAGCAACGCCGCGUGAGUGAUGAAGCAGUUUAUCUGUGUAAAGCUCUGUUGGGAGGGACGAAAUGAUUGGUUAGUUGCCGAUUUUGACGGUACCUCCUGAGGAAGCUCCGGCUAACUCCGUGCCAGCAGCCGCGGUAAUACGGGGGGAGCGAGCGUUGUCCGGAUUUAUUGGGCGUAAAGGGCAUGUAGGUGGUCUUUUAAGUCAGUUGUUAAACUUAUCGGCUUAACCGGUACUUGCAAUUGAUACUGGGGGACUUGAAUUUGAGAGGGGAUAGUGGAAUAUCAAGUGUAGCGGUGGAAUGCGUAGAUAUUUGAUAGAACACCUGAGGUGCAGACGACUAUCUGGCUCAUGAUUGACACUGAGAUGCGAAAGUAUGGGGAGCAAACA